RNAcentral lists this transfer RNA (73 nucleotides) under Stegodyphus dumicola. RNAcentral's name for it is "tRNA-Ala". It matches the Rfam family "tRNA". From Rfam's summary of the family: Transfer RNA (tRNA) molecules are approximately 80 nucleotides in length. Lineage: Eukaryota; Metazoa; Arthropoda; Arachnida; Araneae; Eresidae. The record is from RNAcentral.
GCCUUCGUGGUGUAGUGGUCAGCACGCUCAAUGCGCAUUCGAGAGGUCCGUGGUUCGAGUCCUGGCGAGGGCA